UACGGAAGGUCCGGGCGUUAUCCGGAUUUAUUGGGUUUAAAGGGAGCGUAGGCCGGUCUUUAAGCGUGCCGUGAAAUUUUGUGGCUCAACCAUGAGAGUGCGGCGCGAACUGGAGACCUUGAGUGCGCGGAAGGCAGGCGGAAUUCGUGGUGUAGCGGUGAAAUGCUUAGAUAUCACGAAGAACACCAAUGGCGAAGGCAGGUCUCUGGGCCGUUACUGACGCUGAGGAGCGAAAGCGUGGGGAGCGAACAGG
Molecule: ribosomal RNA, 253 nt
Filed under: uncultured Prevotella sp.
Lineage: Bacteria; Pseudomonadati; Bacteroidota; Bacteroidia; Bacteroidales; Prevotellaceae
Description: partial 16S ribosomal RNA
Rfam family: Bacterial small subunit ribosomal RNA
Source: RNAcentral